UGAUCUCGGCAUUGAUGAAAUUAGUGAGGUGAACAAAGAGCAAUCCUGCACGAGUAGUAAUGGAAAUAAGGAUGUCAUUGGUGUCAGCAAUGAUGGAAUUAGUGAGGUGGACAAAGAGAAAUCCUGCACGAGUAGUAACGGAACUGCAGAUGUCAUUGGCAUCGGCAGUAAUGGAAUUAGUGAGGCGGACAAAGAGCAAUCCUGCACGAGUGGACAUAAGGAUGUCAUGUAAGUUGUUUA
Cimex lectularius (bed bug) is the source of this 240-nucleotide long non-coding RNA. RefSeq lists it as uncharacterized. NCBI's taxonomy places the organism in Eukaryota, Metazoa, Arthropoda, Insecta, Hemiptera, Cimicidae. The record is from RefSeq and is a predicted model, not a curated record. The transcript is spliced from 3 exons.